GAUGAACGCUAGCGGGAGGCUUAACACAUGCAAGUCGAGGGGCAGCAUAGGGUAGCAAUACUCUGAUGGCGACCGGCAAACGGGUGAGUAACGCGUAUGCAACCUACCCUGUACAGGGGGAUAACCCGGAGAAAUUCGGACUAAUAUCCCGUAAUAAUAUCCGGAGGCAUCUUUGGAUAUUUAAAGUUCCGACGGUACGGGAUGGGCAUGCGUAACAUUAGCUGGUUGGUAAGGUAACGGCUUACCAAGGCUAUGAUGUUUAGGGGUCCUGAGAGGGUGGUCCCCCACACUGGUACUGAGACACGGACCAGACUCCUACGGGAGGCAGCAGUGAGGAAUAUUGGUCAAUGGGCGCAAGCCUGAACCAGCCAUCCCGCGUGCAGGAAGACGGCCCUAUGGGUUGUAAAACUGCUUUUCCAGGGAGAGAAAACUUACGCACGUGUUGCAAUGACUGACGGUACCCUGGGAAUAAGCAUCGGCUAACUCCGUGCCAGCAGCCGCGGUAAUACGUCUA
Molecule: ribosomal RNA, 514 nt
Filed under: uncultured bacterium
Lineage: Bacteria
Description: bacterial SSU rRNA
Rfam family: Bacterial small subunit ribosomal RNA
Source: RNAcentral